GUUGUGAUGAUUGUUGCUUUCUUUGUGGCC
Molecule: non-coding RNA, 30 nt
Filed under: Rattus norvegicus (Norway rat)
Lineage: Eukaryota; Metazoa; Chordata; Mammalia; Rodentia; Muridae
Source: RNAcentral